RNAcentral lists this long non-coding RNA (414 nucleotides) under Helianthus annuus (common sunflower). Its description in RNAcentral is "sRNA HanXRQr2_Chr15g0693921". The record is from RNAcentral. Lineage: Eukaryota; Viridiplantae; Streptophyta; Magnoliopsida; Asterales; Asteraceae.
UUCCAUCAGAUCUAGAUCUGCAUCUGCCCCUUUCUCUCAAUUCAACUUAAAUUUCUCAAAUCAUCACCAAAUUUCUCAAAUCAAACACUCAUUCUUCUCCUUCUACCGAGCAAUCUUUCCAUCUAGGGUUUUAAGAUCCGCAUCAUCAUCAGUUCGGUUUCACAAAUGGUGAGUCCCUUGAAAAGUUUUGAAUGAAAAGUCUAAGGGUUAGAUCUUGCCCGUAUAUUGGCGGGGCAACCCGGAUGGCGUGUGAGAUGCAACCACUGUUGCAGCCAUGACGGUGUCUGAGCCCUUUGUCUCAUCUUCAAAUUAUAGAUCUGAGCCUUAGUUCUCUUCAAUUUUGAAUCAUCAAAUGCUUUGUAACAAAAUGUGAAAGCCAAAUAGAAGCCAGCUGGACAGCACUGAAGGCUUGGA